Molecule: ribosomal RNA, 497 nt
Filed under: uncultured bacterium
Lineage: Bacteria
Description: partial 16S ribosomal RNA
Rfam family: Bacterial small subunit ribosomal RNA
Source: RNAcentral
GACGAACGCUGGCGGCGUGCCUAAUACAUGCAAGUAGAACGCUGAAGCUUGGUGCUUGCACCGAGCGGAUGAGUUGCGAACGGGUGAGUAACGCGUAGGUAACCUGCCUGGUAGCGGGGGAUAACUAUUGGAAACGAUAGCUAAUACCGCAUAACAGUAGAUAUCGCAUGAUAGCUACUUGAAAGGUGCAAAUGCACCACUACCAGAUGGACCUGCGUUGUAUUAGCUAGUUGGUGAGGUAACGGCUCACCAAGGCAACGAUACAUAGCCGACCUGAGAGGGUGAUCGGCCACACUGGGACUGGGACACGGCCCAGACUCCUACGGGAGGCAGCAGUAGGGAAUCUUCGGCAAUGGACGGAAGUCUGACCGAGCAACGCCGCGUGAGUGAAGAAGGUUUUCGGAUCGUAAAGCUCUGUUGUAAGAGAAGAACGAGUGUGAGAGUGGAAAGUUCACACUGUGACGGUAUCUUACCAGAAAGGGACGGCUAACUACGUG